This 466-nucleotide ribosomal RNA is filed under the name uncultured bacterium. RNAcentral describes it as "partial 16S ribosomal RNA". It matches the Rfam family "Bacterial small subunit ribosomal RNA", at positions 28 to 507 of the family's 1533-position model. The record is from RNAcentral.
GACGAACGCUGGCGGCGUGCUUAACACAUGCAAGUCGAACGGAAAGGCCCUGCUUGCAGGGUACUCGAGUGGCGAACGGGUGAGUAACACGUGGGUGAUCUGCCCUGCACUUCGGGAUAAGCUUGGGAAACUGGGUCUAAUACCGGAUAGGAGCCAUCUUUAGUGUGGUGGUUGGAAAGUUUUUUCGGUGUAGGAUGAGCUCGCGGCCUAUCAGCUUGUUGGUGGGGUAAUGGCCUACCAAGGCGGCGACGGGUAGCCGGCCUGAGAGGGUGUACGGCCACUUUGGGACUGAGAUACGGCCCAGACUCCUACGGGGGGCAGCAGUGGGGAAUAUUGCACAAUGGGCGCAAGCCUGAUGCAGCGACGCCGCGUGGGGGAUGAAGGCCUUCGGGUUGUAAACUCCUUUCGCUAGGGACGAAGCUUUGUUGUGACGGUACCUAGAUAAGAAGCACCGGCUAACUACGUG